GACAUAUGAUGCUAUUCUAUAUUUGCUACUUCGGACGGGCUUCGCGCUCGAAUGAGACAUAUCAUUAUCACCAAGAUCUCUGAUGUC
The sequence is a small nucleolar RNA, 87 nucleotides long. It matches the Rfam family "Small nucleolar RNA SNORD24". From Rfam's summary of the family: U24 is a member of the C/D class of snoRNA which contain the C (UGAUGA) and D (CUGA) box motifs. C/D box snoRNAs have been shown to act as methylation guides for a number of RNA targets. U24 is encoded within an intron of the gene for ribosomal protein L7a in mammals, chicken and Fugu.